RNAcentral lists this unclassified non-coding RNA (1671 nucleotides) under Dimorphilus gyrociliatus. RNAcentral's name for it is "hypothetical protein". Lineage: Eukaryota; Metazoa; Annelida; Polychaeta; Dinophilidae. The record is from RNAcentral.
GAUUUUCGAUUCGGUUGUUGUUAGAUAAGCAGUGGACGUUUAGCAUGCUGUUUUCUCUUAUAAAAAGUCAAUCCUAUGGAUUAACUUUUUAAUAAAAUUUGUGUUCGAAAUAAUUCCAAUUUAGCUGCACUGUAAGUACUUGGAAAACUUUUCCUUUAUCAUUAGUAUCACAAUCAUAAUAUUCUAUCAUGAUUAUUUUAUUAAGUCUUUCUUUUUCGAUCGGCUAAAAUAAAACAAUUUAUCUUUUUAAAAUUAGCUUCCAUUUAGUUCAUAUCAAUUAGUAAAAUCCAAUUAAUAUAGUCCUUUUAACUUCAGUGAAUAAGUGCGUAAGAAAAUAAGUUUCAUAGAUUGUAAUUUUUAUUUUACUUUUUUUUUUAAAAAAAAAACCGUUCAGUCAAUAAAUCAUUUGUAUGCGCAUGAGAUAAGAUAAAAUAAAUUGUAUCCAAGAGUUUAUAGAUAACGAAAUAGCUAACGACAAUUAUUUUAAAUUUCUUUCAACACGAAGGCUUUUCAAGUUGUGUAUCUGACGAUCGAUUUAUUGAAAUAUGAUAUGGGGAAAUAUCGCUUUAAACUCAUAGUGUGCGCUUUGUUCUAAAUGGAAAAGCUUCAAUAUGUCCAGAAAUUCCGACCAAGCGUUCAAUCUAACACGCUAUGAAUUGGAACAGUUUCAGCGGGCUCGCCGAUUCAAAACCGAACGUCGAGCUAGCUUGUGGAGUUUGGACGAAUCAAGAAGGCACAAACAAUAUCGUUUCUCGUCUACCCUUUCACCGGAAGCCCAAUUCGCAAUGAAAUUAGCCUCUGAAGAAAAAUACCAAAAGAAUAGAUCGCACAGCUCUAUUAAGUUUUUGCCGCCAUUAAAGUCUUCUAAGCCAGCUGGAGAUAGCUCAAGUCAUUCAGAACAGAGUGAUUUUAUCAAAGUUCUGCAAUGCGAUUGUGAAGAUGAUACCUCCAGUGUUUUCGAUGACGCCGCCAUAGAUGAAAUAGCUCGCCAGAAUAGUUCACAUGUUCAAAAUAUUAAACAGCGCGAGGAUGAGGCCUAGUCGUUUUUUAUCGCCAUUCUUAAACUCUUUCCAUCUAAUGUAUAUUUUAUACUUUUAAUAAUGAAAAAAAAAACAAGAAAAUUAUCUUUCAAUAAAUCUAUUUUUAAUUAUUUUAUAUGGUUUAUAGUACUUGGUCAUUUAAAAUUUGACUCUCUUUAAGCUUGAAAAAGCACCCAGUCGUUUAAGAGUGUUUUAGUUUGAUUUAGCUGAAUUGGCGUAUAGAAAAGUUAAGUGCUUCUCGACCGAUUUUAUUCAAGUAAAGAGAGUGACCAUUUUAACUCUAGCCAUAAAAAGAAAAAUUAAUAAAUCGAAUGGAAGCUGUAAAUCGAUUUCAUUCGAUCGCCUAAUGAGUAACCUACAGCUAGGAUUGUACUCAAAGGGCUUAAUAUUUCGAUUAUAUUUCUUUAUCAUAGGCCUAGACUUAAUUUGUACUCUUUCUUUGAGACCAUAGAUCAGAUAGUUGAUUAUUGUUUAUAACAACGAGUUAUCUAGGCUGAAAGAGAACUAAUAACCCUCUUUGCAUAUUUCAUAAUAAUAGAAUUUUAAGGAAAAAAAGGAGUGAAAGAAAAUAAUGCAUCAAUUAAUAAUCAAUUAAUAAUACUUCAAUAAACAGGCAUAUAACAUCUUUUCC